GAUGAACGCUGGCGGCGCGCCUAACACAUGCAAGUCGAACGGAGUUACUCUGAAUGAAGUUUUCGGAUGGAUUUUGGAUUAACUUAGUGGCGAACGGGUGAGUAACGCGUGAGUAACCUGCCCUGGAGUGGGGGACAACAGUUGGAAACGACUGCUAAUACCGCAUAAGCCCACAGUGCCGCAUGGCACAGCGGGAAAAGGAUUUAUUCGCUUCAGGAUGGACUCGCGUCCAAUUAGCUAGUUGGUGAGGUAACGGCCCACCAAGGCGACGAUUGGUAGCCGGACUGAGAGGUUGAACGGGCCACAUUGGGACUGAGACACGGCCCAGACUCCUACGGGAGGCAGCAGUGGGGGAUAUUGCACAAUGGGGGAAACCCUGAUGCAGCGACGCCGCGUGGAGGAUGAAGGCUCUAUGGGUCGUAAACUUCUUUUAUAUAAGAAUAAAGUGCAGUAUGUAUACUGUUUUUG
RNAcentral lists this ribosomal RNA (468 nucleotides) under uncultured bacterium. Its description in RNAcentral is "bacterial SSU rRNA". It matches the Rfam family "Bacterial small subunit ribosomal RNA", at positions 28 to 472 of the family's 1533-position model. The record is from RNAcentral.